GGGGAAUUUUCCGCAAUGGGCGAAAGCCUGACGGAGCAAUGCCGCGUGGAGGAAGACGGCCCGUGGGUUGCAAACUCCUUUUCUUAGAGAAGAACAACUGACGGUAUCUAAGGAAUAAGCAUUGGCUAACUCUGUGCCAGCAGCCGCGGUAAUACGGGAGUGGCAAGCGUUAUCCGGAAUUAUUGGGCGUAAAGCGUCCGCAGGCGGUCUUGUAAGUCUGUCGUUAAAGCGUGGAGCUUAACUCCAUUUCAGCGAUGGAAACUGCAAGACUAGAGUGUGGUAGGGGCAGAGGGAAUUCCCGGUGUAGCGGUGAAAUGCGUAGAUAUCGGGAAGAACACCAGUGGCGAAGGCGCUCUGCUGGGCCAUAACUGACGCUCAUGGACGAAAGCCAGGGGAGCGAAAGGGAUUAGAUACCCCAGUAGUC
This 424-nucleotide ribosomal RNA is filed under the name uncultured cyanobacterium. RNAcentral describes it as "bacterial SSU rRNA". It matches the Rfam family "Bacterial small subunit ribosomal RNA", at positions 356 to 795 of the family's 1533-position model. The record is from RNAcentral. Lineage: Bacteria; Bacillati; Cyanobacteriota.